RNAcentral lists this ribosomal RNA (582 nucleotides) under Nostoc piscinale LCRSM-6. RNAcentral describes it as "bacterial SSU rRNA". It matches the Rfam family "Bacterial small subunit ribosomal RNA", at positions 188 to 795 of the family's 1533-position model. The record is from RNAcentral. Lineage: Bacteria; Bacillati; Cyanobacteriota; Cyanophyceae; Nostocales; Nostocaceae.
UGUGCCGGAAGGUCGAAAGGCUUGCUGCCUGAAGAUGAGCUCGCGUCCGAUUAGCUAGUAGGUGGGGUAAGAGCCUACCUAGGCGACGAUCGGUAGCUGGUCUGAGAGGAUGACCAGCCACACUGGGACUGAGACACGGCCCAGACUCCUACGGGAGGCAGCAGUGGGGAAUUUUCCGCAAUGGGCGAAAGCCUGACGGAGCAAUACCGCGUGAGGGAGGAAGGCUCUUGGGUUGUAAACCUCUUUUCUCAGGGAAGAACACAAUGACGGUACCUGAGGAAUCAGCAUCGGCUAACUCCGUGCCAGCAGCCGCGGUAAUACGGAGGAUGCAAGCGUUAUCCGGAAUGAUUGGGCGUAAAGCGUCCGCAGGUGGCUGUGUAAGUCUGCUGUCAAAGAGCAAAGCUCAACUUUGUAAAGGCAGUGGAAACUACACGGCUAGAGUGCGUUCGGGGCAGAGGGAAUUCCUGGUGUAGCGGUGAAAUGCGUAGAGAUCAGAAGAACACCGGUGGCGAAGCGCUCUGCUAGCCGCAACUGACACUGAGGGACGAAAGCUAGGAGCGAUGGAUUAGAUACCCAGUAGUC